Homo sapiens (human) is the source of this 200-nucleotide long non-coding RNA. Lineage: Eukaryota; Metazoa; Chordata; Mammalia; Primates; Hominidae. The record is from Ensembl.
CAGGCGGAUCACAAGGUCAGGAGAUCAAAACCAUCCUGGCUAACACGGUGAAACCCCGUCUCUACUAAAAAUACAAAAAAUUAGUUGGGUAUGGUGGCAUGCACCUGUAGUCCCAGCUACUCAGGAGGAAACUCCAGAAGCAGACAGGGCCCUAGAUAUAACGGCAUCUAAGUCCUGUAUAAGAGUCUGCACCUAGAUUG